Syngnathoides biaculeatus (alligator pipefish) is the source of this 485-nucleotide long non-coding RNA. RefSeq lists it as uncharacterized. The transcript is spliced from 4 exons. NCBI's taxonomy places the organism in Eukaryota, Metazoa, Chordata, Actinopteri, Syngnathiformes, Syngnathidae. The record is from RefSeq and is a predicted model, not a curated record.
CUCCACCAGACACUGGCACCGACCGCUCAGGCUGCGCUUCUCUGAAACCAGACCAGGAUUCAUUAACACACAAAAACACGCGUCUUUGACAUCUUUGACGGUUGAGUCGGCAGCCCGCGUGUUGACUGACUUUGGACGACAGGUCGUGGAGCAGCGAGCAGAAAUUGGAGUCCGCGGGCAUGCCCAGCGGGUGACUGCGCAGCUGCAGGAUCUUCUCGCCGGCGGAGUUCCUCAGCGCGUCCCACGUGCAGCUGUUGCCUUUGGUCUUGGACGACUCUGCCCUGCCCCCCGUUUGCUGUGCGGCGGCAAAGAUGAUAACAGGAGUCAAGCGCAGUGUACUGGCAUCAAUUGGUCCGCAAGAGGGCACUCGAGCAUAAAAGGUAAUGUCCACGUUUUCUUUUUGAGUGCGCGCUGCAGGAGCUGGCUCACCACGUUGAACGUGUCGUCUUCGGGGUCGGCGUCGGUGUUGGUCCUCAGGUCCACCG